This 459-nucleotide ribosomal RNA is filed under the name uncultured bacterium. Its description in RNAcentral is "partial 16S ribosomal RNA". It matches the Rfam family "Bacterial small subunit ribosomal RNA", at positions 29 to 507 of the family's 1533-position model. The record is from RNAcentral.
AGCGAACGCUGGCGGCAGGCCUAACACAUGCAAGUCGAACGAACCUUUCGGGGUUAGUGGCGGACGGGUGAGUAACCCGUGGGAACGUGCCUUUAGGUUCGGAAUAACUCAGGGAAACUUGUGCUAAUACCGAAUGUGCCCUUCGGGGGAAAGAUUAAUCGCCUUUCGAGCGGCCCCCGUCUGAUUCGCUAAUUGGUUGAGGUAAUGGCUCACCAAGGCGACGAUCAGUAGCUGGUCUGAGAGGGUGAUCAGCCACAUUGGGACUGAGCCACGGCCCAGACUCCUACGGGAGGCAGGAGUAGGGAAUCUACCGCAAUGGGCGAAAGCGUGACGGAGCAACGGAGAGUGAGUGAUGAAUGUUUUCGUAUCGUAAAACUCUGUUAUUAGGGAAGAACAAAUGUGUAAGUAACUAUGCACGUCUUGACGGUACCUAAUAAGAAAGCCACGACUAACUACGUG